CUCUAUCCAGACAGUCCUGUCUGCUCUCCUCUCUCCUCUCUUCUCUCUCUCUCUCUCUCUCUCUCUCUCUCACCUGUUCCUCUCUGCUGUUUAUGAUCACCAGGUCUGCUCCUCUAUCCAGACAGUCCUGUCUGCUCUCCUCUCUCCUCUCUUCUCUCUCUCUCUCUCUCUCUCUCUCUCUCUCUCUCUCUCUCUCUCUCUCUCUCUCACCUGUUCCUCUCUGCUGUUUAUGAUGACCAGGUCUGCUCCUCU
Long non-coding RNA from Oncorhynchus tshawytscha (Chinook salmon), 252 nucleotides. The record is from Ensembl. NCBI's taxonomy places the organism in Eukaryota, Metazoa, Chordata, Actinopteri, Salmoniformes, Salmonidae.